RNAcentral lists this ribosomal RNA (199 nucleotides) under uncultured Turneriella sp. RNAcentral describes it as "partial 16S ribosomal RNA". It matches the Rfam family "Bacterial small subunit ribosomal RNA", at positions 29 to 244 of the family's 1533-position model. The record is from RNAcentral. Lineage: Bacteria; Pseudomonadati; Spirochaetota; Leptospiria; Leptospirales; Leptospiraceae.
AACGAACGCUGGCGGCGCGUCUUAAACAUGCAAGUCGAACGAUCUGUAGCAAUACAGGGAGUGGCGGACGGGUGAGGAACACGUAGGAAUCUACCUAGAAGAGCGGGACAACCUUGGGAAACCGGGGCUAAUACCGCAUAGUACAGAGAUGUUAAAGGGCUAGCAAUAGUCGCUUCUGGAUGAGCCUGCGGUCUAUCAG